Molecule: long non-coding RNA, 984 nt
Organism: Halichondria panicea
Lineage: Eukaryota; Metazoa; Porifera; Demospongiae; Suberitida; Halichondriidae
Exons: 3
Source: RefSeq, a predicted model, not a curated record
UGAAACAUGCAGGGUCAAAUUUAGCCUAAAUUGCAGCCACAUGAAUUCCUUGAUUUGUUUCUUGAUUGUUUGACUUGAGGGUGAAGUAUCUAUUGAAGGUUGGCUAUUCCAAAGUCUAUAUAGGCAGACGAUUGUAGUAGAAGUGUCGGAGUAAGUUUGUGCGACAAAAGUUAUGUUUUAGUGAUAAAUUCUCAAACAACCUGAUAUCUCCAUAAUUGCAGUACUGUGCAGUCUUUCGUAAUCGCUGACUGUCUCCCUUAAUUGUUGCUGAAUUCUCGUAUUGAACUUGAAUCUCUGCACUAUUGCAGAAGGAGUCAGCCAAGUGUUGGUGUUUUUGUACCAGUGUGAUGAGUUGGGCAAAGGUUUUGUCGGUGGGCCUGAUUGGUGCCAAUAUAGAUCCUUGAAGAGUUGGAUGCAACACAAAAGACUCUGAUGGAAUAUUUUGGAGAUUUGGUAUCCAAGUUUGAAAUGGACCAGCUAUCAAACCUUGAUGAUACUACAGGAGUGUAUGAAGAGGAGUAUCCAACUGUAGCAGUUGUAGUGUAAACCAGGUUUCGGUACAAGUAUGUCAUACCACGUCACUAUCAGACCGCAUCUUAAGUGGAUGCAACACAAAAGACUCUGAUGGAAUAUUUUGGAGAUUUGGUAUCCAAGUUUGAAAUGGACCAGCUAUCAAACCUUGAUGAUACUACAGGAGUGUAUGAAGAGGAGUAUCCAACUGUAGCAGUUGUAGUGUAAACCAGGUUUCGGUACAAGUAUGUCAUACCACGUCACUAUCAGACCGCAUCUUAAGUGGUGAGUAGGUGUAGUGGUUAAUUAGUUAAAAAUGAUAUCAGCAUACACACGUGUAGUUUGUACCUCCAGUCCACAUCUAAUUUAAUUCAUGGCUAACAGUUUAUACAACUGCAAGUGUUAGUGACGAAUUCAGUCCGAGAUGUAGAAUGGAAUGUGCGUGGGAGUACGUCGCAUACUCCUCUUCAUACG